This 467-nucleotide ribosomal RNA is filed under the name uncultured bacterium. RNAcentral's name for it is "bacterial SSU rRNA". It matches the Rfam family "Bacterial small subunit ribosomal RNA", at positions 330 to 794 of the family's 1533-position model. The record is from RNAcentral.
GCCAGACUCCUACGGGAGGCAGCAGUGAGGAAUAUUGGUCAAUGGCCGAGAGGCUGAACCAGCCAAGUCGCGUGAGGGAUGACGGCCCUACGGGUUGUAAACCUCUUUUGCCGGGGAGCAAGGCCGCCGACGUGUCGGCGGAAGGAGAGUACCCGUAGAACAAGCAUCGGCUAACUCCGUGCCAGCAGCCGCGGUAAUACGGAGGAUGCGAGCGUUAUCCGGAUUUAUUGGGUUUAAAGGGUGCGUAGGCGGGCUUUUAAGUCAGCGGUAAAAAUUCGGGGCUCAACCCCGUCCGGCCGUUGAAACUGGGGGCCUUGAGUGGGCGAGAAGAAGGCGGAAUGCGUGGUGUAGCGGUGAAAUGCAUAGAUAUCACGCAGAACCCCGAUUGCGAAGGCAGCCUUCCGGCGCCCUACUGACGCUGAGGCACGAAAGUGCGGGGAUCGAACAGGAUUAGAUACCCGUGUACA